UGAAAACCAAGGAAAAGAAUAUUUGAAGUCCAUUUCUAAGGGAAAAAAAGGAAGCAAUGACAUAGUACCUAGAGCUGGAGCCAACUAAACUGGUAAACAUUGCUAUCUUCAGAAUAAGUUAAGGAAUGAGAGGCGAGGAAGAGAGGACUUUCAUCCUGGAAGGACCCAAAGCACUUUGAAAGUUUAAAGGAAUGUACUGAUAGCUGCUAAAAUCACCUUUGUUACCGAAAUGGAUGAAGUACUUCAGAUUUAAAUGGUAACCAGAAUUCUCAUAUUAUGUUACAUUUCUAUCAAGAACUUUAAAUGACUUGAAAGGACUUCUUUUUAAGUUUAAACAUUUACCUUACAAAUACCAAAC
RNAcentral lists this long non-coding RNA (358 nucleotides) under Camelus dromedarius (Arabian camel). RNAcentral describes it as "lncRNA (ENSCDRG00005003680.1)". Lineage: Eukaryota; Metazoa; Chordata; Mammalia; Artiodactyla; Camelidae. The record is from RNAcentral.